This 445-nucleotide ribosomal RNA is filed under the name uncultured bacterium. RNAcentral describes it as "partial 16S ribosomal RNA". It matches the Rfam family "Bacterial small subunit ribosomal RNA", at positions 354 to 796 of the family's 1533-position model. The record is from RNAcentral.
GUGAGGAAUAUUGGUCAAUGGGCGGGAGCCUGAACCAGCCAAGUCGCGUGAAGGAAGAAGGAUCUAUGGUUCGUAAACUUCUUUUGCAGGGGAAUAAAGUGCAGGACGUGUCCUGUUUUGUAUGUACCCUGAGAAUAAGGAUCGGCUAACUCCGUGCCAGCAGCCGCGGUAAUACGGAGGAUCCGAGCGUUAUCCGGAUUUAUUGGGUUUAAAGGGUGCGUAGGUGGUUUGAUAAGUCAGCGGUGAAAGUUUGCAGCUUAACUGUAAAAAUGCCGUUGAAGCUGUCGGACUUGAGUGUAAAUGAGGUAGGCGGAAUGCGUGGUGUAGCGGUGAAAUGCAUAGAUAUCACGCAGAACUCCGAUUGCGAAGGCAGCUUACUAAGCUACAACUGACACUGAAGCACGAAAGCGUGGGGAUCAAACAGGAUUAGAAACCCCGGUAGUCC